This 490-nucleotide ribosomal RNA is filed under the name uncultured bacterium. RNAcentral describes it as "partial 16S ribosomal RNA". It matches the Rfam family "Bacterial small subunit ribosomal RNA", at positions 28 to 507 of the family's 1533-position model. The record is from RNAcentral.
GAUGAACGCUAGCUACAGGCUUAACACAUGCAAGUCGCGGGGCAGCAUGGGGGUUGCUUGCAAUCCCCGAUGGCGACCGGCGCACGGGUGAGUAACGAGUAUCCAACCUGCCCUUCACCACGGGAUAACCCGGCGAAAGUCGGACUAAUACCGUAUGUUGUCCAUUGACGGCAUCCGAUUUGGACGAAAGGUUUGGCGGUGAAGGAUGGGGAUGCGUCCGAUUAGCUGGAUGGCGGGGUGACGGCCGACCGUGGCGACGAUCGGUAGGGGUUCUGAGAGGAAGGUCCCCCACACUGGAACUGAGACACGGUCCAGACUACUACGGGAGGCAGCAGUGAGGAAUAUUGGUCAAUGGGCGUAAGCCUGAACCAGCCAAGUAGCGUGCAGGAUGACGGCCCUAUGGGUUGUAAACUGCUUUUAUGCGGGGAUAAAGUGGCCCACGUGUGGGUUUUUGCAGGUACCGCAUGAAUAAGGACCGGCUAAUUCCGUG